RNAcentral lists this ribosomal RNA (872 nucleotides) under Geastrum triplex. RNAcentral describes it as "LSU rRNA". It matches the Rfam family "Eukaryotic large subunit ribosomal RNA", at positions 75 to 932 of the family's 3401-position model. The record is from RNAcentral. Lineage: Eukaryota; Fungi; Basidiomycota; Agaricomycetes; Geastrales; Geastraceae.
UUCCCCUAGUACGGCGAGUGAAGAGGGAAAAGCUCAAAUUUAAAAUGGGUGGCUACGGCCGUCCGAGUUGUAAUCUAGAGAAGUGUUUAGCGCGCUGGACCGUGUACAAGUCCUUUGGAACAAGGCGUCAUAGAGGGUGAGAAUCCCGUCUACGACACGGACUGCCAAGCGCUUUGUGAUACACUCUCAACGAGUCGAGUUGUUUGGGAAUGCAGCUCAAAAUGGGUGGUAAAUUCCAUCUAAAGCUAAAUAUGGGCGAAAGACCGAUAGCGAACAAGUACCGUGAGGGAAAGAUGAAAAGCACUUUGGAAAGAGAGUUAAACAGUACGUGAAAUUGUUGAAAGGGAAACGCUUGAAGUCAGUCGCGUCUUCAGAAAUUCAGCAGGGCUUCUGCCCUGUGUACUUUUCUGUGGGACGGGCCAGCAUCAGUUUUGGCUGCCAGAAAAAGGUGGGAGGAAGGUGGCACCUCUGGGUGUGUUAUAGCCUCCGAUCGUAUGUGGCAGCCGGGACUGAGGACUGCAGCACGCCUUCAUGGCCGGGGUUCGCCCACGUAACGUGCUUAGGAUGCUGGCGUAAUGGCUUUAAGCGACCCGUCUUGAAACACGGACCAAGGAGUCUAACAUGCCUGCGAGUAUUUGGGUGGCAAACCCAUAUGCGCAAUGAAAGUGAACGGUUGGGACUUCUGUCAUGGAAGGCACCGACGCCCGGACCAGACCUAUUGUGACGGAUCCGAGGUAGAGCAUGUAUGUUGGGACCCGAAAGAUGGUGAACUAUGCCUGAGUAGGGUGAAGCCAGAGGAAACUCUGGUGGAGGCUCGUAGCGAUUCUGACGUGCAAAUCGAUCGUCGAACUUGGGUAUAGGGGCGAAAGACU